This 292-nucleotide ribosomal RNA is filed under the name uncultured bacterium. RNAcentral describes it as "partial 16S ribosomal RNA". It matches the Rfam family "Bacterial small subunit ribosomal RNA", at positions 505 to 796 of the family's 1533-position model. The record is from RNAcentral.
UUUUCAGCAGCCGCGGUAAUACGUAGGUGACAAGCGUUGUCCGGAUUUACUGGGCGUAAAGAGCGCGCAGGCGGUCGAUCAAGUCGAGUGUGAAAGCCCCCGGCUCAACUGGGGAGGGUCAUUCGAAACUGGUCGACUCGAAGGCAGGAGAGGGUAGUGGAAUUCCCGGUGUAGUGGUGAAAUGCGUAGAUAUCGGGAGGAACACCAGUGGCGAAGGCGACUACCUGGCCUGUUCUUGACGCUGAGGCGCGAAAGCUAGGGGAGCAAACGGGAUUAGAUACCCCCGUAGUCC